UACGUAGGGUGCGAGCGUUGUCCGGAAUUACUGGGCGUAAAGAGCUCGUAGGUGGUUUGUCGCGUUGUCCGUGAAAACUCACAACUCAAUUGUGGGCGUGCGGGCGAUACGGGCAGACUGGAGUACUGCAGGGGAGACUGGAAUUCCUGGUGUAGCGAUGGAAUGCGCAGAUAUCAGGAGGAACACCGGUGGCGAAGGCGGGUCUCUGGGCAGUAACUGACGCUGAGGAGCGAAAGCGUGGGGAGCGAACAGG
Molecule: ribosomal RNA, 253 nt
Filed under: uncultured bacterium
Lineage: Bacteria
Description: partial 16S ribosomal RNA
Rfam family: Bacterial small subunit ribosomal RNA
Source: RNAcentral